RNAcentral lists this ribosomal RNA (492 nucleotides) under uncultured bacterium. RNAcentral describes it as "partial 16S ribosomal RNA". It matches the Rfam family "Bacterial small subunit ribosomal RNA", at positions 29 to 507 of the family's 1533-position model. The record is from RNAcentral.
AGUGAACGCUGGCGGUAGGCCUAACACAUGCAAGUCGAACGGCAGCACAGUAAGAGCUUGCUCUUACGGGUGGCGAGUGGCGGACGGGUGAGGAAUACAUCGGAAUCUACUUUUUCGUGGGGGGUAACGUAGGGAAACUUACGCUAAUACCGCAUACGACCUACGGGUGAAAGUAGGGGAUCUUCGGACCUUGCGCGAUUGAAUGAGCCGAUGUCGGAUUAGCUAGUUGGCGGGGUAAAGGCCCACCAAGGCGACGAUCCGUAGCUGGUCUGAGAGGAUGAUCAGCCACACUGGAACUGAGACACGGUCCAGACUCCUACGGGAGGCAGCAGUGGGGAAUAUUGGACAAUGGGCGCAAGCCUGAUCCAGCCAUACCGCGUGGGUGAAGAAGGCCUUCGGGUUGUAAAGCCCUUUUGUUGGGAAAGAAAAGCAGCAGGUUAAUACCCCGCUGUUCUGACGGUACCCAAAGAAUAAGCACCGGCUAACUUCGUG